RNAcentral lists this ribosomal RNA (534 nucleotides) under Triticum aestivum (bread wheat). RNAcentral's name for it is "partial small subunit ribosomal RNA". Lineage: Eukaryota; Viridiplantae; Streptophyta; Magnoliopsida; Poales; Poaceae. The record is from RNAcentral.
AUGGCGGCGGCGAAGCCCGGUAGUAGUAGCGACAUCGACACGGCGGAGCUGGACCGGGUGCUACACGCGGUGGGCUUCCAGAUCGAGACGGUCUCCCCCGCGCUGCUCGCCGGGAGGCUCCCCGUCACGGAGCGCUGCUGCCAGCCGUUCAAGGUGCUGCACGGCGGCGUGUCGGCGCUGGUGUCUGAGGCGCUGGCCAGCAUGGGCGCGCACAUGGCGUCGGGCUACCGCCGCGUCGCGGGCGUGCACCUCAGCAUCAACCACUUCCGUAGCGCCGCCCUCGGCGACGUCGUGCUCGCCCGCGCCGUCCCCGUCCACCUCGGCCGCUCCACGCAGGUGUGGGAGGUGAAGCUGUGGAAGAUGGACCCGUCGGCGGAGAUGAAGAAGGGGCCGCAGAUCGCCGAGGCCAAGGUGACGCUGCUCUGCAACCUGCCCGUGCCGGACAACCUCCACCACGCCGGCGACGCCCUCAAGAAGUACGCCGCCGAUGGCGCUGCACCUGCACCAACCACCACCGCCACCAGCAAACUGUAA